CCUACGGGAGGCAGCAGUAAGGAAUAUUGCUCAAUGGGCGAAAGCCUGAAGCAGCAACGCCGCGUGCACGAUGAAGGCCUUCGGGUCGUAAAGUGCUUUUCGGGCAGAUGAGGAAGGACAGUAUCCCCGGAAUAAGGUACGGCUAACUACGUGCCAGCAGCCGCGGUAAAACGUAGGUACCGAGCGUUAUCCGGAUUCACUGGGCGUAAAGCGCGUGCAGGUGGUUUGGUAAGUCGGGCAUGAAAACUCUUGGCUCAACUAAGAGACGCUGUCCGAUACUGCCGGACUUGAGGGUGUAAGAGGGAGGUGGAAUUCCGCAUGUAGUGGUGACAUGCGUAGAUAUGCGGAGGAACACCAGUGGCGAAGGCGGCCUCCUGGCACACUCCUGACACUCAGACGCGAAAGCUAGGGGAGCGAACGGGAUUAGAUACCCGGGUANUC
This 441-nucleotide ribosomal RNA is filed under the name uncultured bacterium. RNAcentral's name for it is "bacterial SSU rRNA". It matches the Rfam family "Bacterial small subunit ribosomal RNA", at positions 338 to 795 of the family's 1533-position model. The record is from RNAcentral.